This 391-nucleotide ribosomal RNA is filed under the name uncultured bacterium. Its description in RNAcentral is "bacterial SSU rRNA". It matches the Rfam family "Bacterial small subunit ribosomal RNA", at positions 28 to 420 of the family's 1533-position model. The record is from RNAcentral.
GACGAACGCUGGCGGCGUGCUUAACACAUGCAAGUCGAGCGGUAAGGCCCUUUCGGGGGUACACGAGCGGCGAACGGGUGAGUAACACGUGGGUGACCUGCCCUCAGCUCUGGGAUAAGCCUGGGAAACCGGGCCUAAUACUGGAUAUGACUCCAUGACGCAUGUUGUGGGGUGGAAAGCCUUGUGCGGCUGAGGAUGGGCCCGCGGCCUAUCAGCUUGUUGGUGGGGUGAUGGCCUACCAAGGCGACGACGGGUAGCCGGCCUGAGAGGGCGACCGGCCACACUGGGACUGAGACACGGCCCAGACUCCUACGGGAGGCAGCAGUGGGGAAUCUUGCGCAAUGGGCGAAAGCCUGACGCAGCGACGCCGCGUGAGGGAUGACGGCCUCGG